This 73-nucleotide transfer RNA is filed under the name Stegodyphus mimosarum. It matches the Rfam family "tRNA". From Rfam's summary of the family: Transfer RNA (tRNA) molecules are approximately 80 nucleotides in length. Their secondary structure includes four short double-helical elements and three loops (D, anti-codon, and T loops). The record is from Rfam by way of RNAcentral. Lineage: Eukaryota; Metazoa; Arthropoda; Arachnida; Araneae; Eresidae.
GCCGUCGUGGUGUAAUGGUCAGCACACUGAGCCGGUAUUUCAGAGGUCCGCGGUUCGAUCCCCGGCGAAGGCA